Molecule: ribosomal RNA, 957 nt
Filed under: Mucilaginibacter sp. J1U2
Lineage: Bacteria; Pseudomonadati; Bacteroidota; Sphingobacteriia; Sphingobacteriales; Sphingobacteriaceae
Description: bacterial SSU rRNA
Rfam family: Bacterial small subunit ribosomal RNA
Source: RNAcentral
GAAUAAGGAUCGGCUAACUCCGUGCCAGCAGCCGCGGUAAUACGGAGGAUCCAAGCGUUAUCCGGAUUUAUUGGGUUUAAAGGGUGCGUAGGCGGCCUAUUAAGUCAGGGGUGAAAGACGGUAGCUUAACUAUCGCAGUGCCUUUGAUACUGAUGGGCUUGAAUGUAGUUGAGGUAGGCGGAAUGUGACAAGUAGCGGUGAAAUGCAUAGAUAUGUCACAGAACACCAAUUGCGAAGGCAGCUUACUAAAGUAUGAUUGACGCUGAGGCACGAAAGCGUGGGGAUCAAACAGGAUUAGAUACCCUGGUAGUCCACGCCCUAAACGAUGAAUACUCGAUGUUGGCGAUAUACAGUCAGCGUCAAAGCGAAAGCGUUAAGUAUUCCACCUGGGGAGUACGCCCGCAAGGGUGAAACUCAAAGGAAUUGACGGGGGCCCGCACAAGCGGAGGAGCAUGUGGUUUAAUUCGAUGAUACGCGAGGAACCUUACCCGGGCUUGAAAGUUAGUGAAUGAUUCAGAGACGAAUCAGUCCUUCGGGACACGAAACUAGGUGCUGCAUGGCUGUCGUCAGCUCGUGCCGUGAGGUGUUGGGUUAAGUCCCGCAACGAGCGCAACCCCUGUGUUUAGUUGCCAGCACGUAAUGGUGGGGACUCUAAACAGACUGCCUAUGCAAAUAGAGAGGAAGGAGGGGACGACGUCAAGUCAUCAUGGCCCUUACGUCCGGGGCUACACACGUGCUACAAUGGGCAGUACAGAGGGCAGCUACCUGGCAACAGGAUGCCAAUCUCAAAAAGCUGUUCACAGUUCGGAUCGGGGUCUGCAACUCGACCCCGUGAAGUUGGAUUCGCUAGUAAUCGCAGAUCAGCAAUGCUGCGGUGAAUACGUUCCCGGGCCUUGUACACACCGCCCGUCAAGCCAUGGAAGCUGGAAGUGCCUGAAGUGCGUAACCGCAAGGAGC